This is a long non-coding RNA of Suricata suricatta (meerkat), 402 nucleotides long. RefSeq lists it as uncharacterized. The record is from RefSeq and is a predicted model, not a curated record. The transcript is spliced from 3 exons. NCBI's taxonomy places the organism in Eukaryota, Metazoa, Chordata, Mammalia, Carnivora, Herpestidae.
AGCUAGAUACCACGGUGAAACUGAGAUGAAAUAUGCCAGCGACUUACGGAAUCUAAACCAGGUCUAAAUAUACUAAUAUGCAUUUUGACUGCCAAAGAAGGAGCUAGAGAAGGAAAGUUGGUUGCCAUGUAAGAAGUUGACUACCUUAAGGUCUGCAGGCUGGACAGGCCACCUGUGCUCCAGAUGACCUCCCAGAUGAACACACGGCUGACAGUCACCCCUGGCAAAGCACCAGAUGGGGUUGCCUUAGUCCCUCCAGACCAGACCAGUCAUCGACUGAUGCCUCUGUGUGACAUCAGUUGGUGCCCAAAUGAAUUGCCAGCCACUUAAACAAUCAUGAGAAGGACGCUGGCUGGGUGGUUCAAUUGGUUAAGCACCCGACUCUUGAUUUCAGCCCAGGCC